CCUACGUGUGACAGCAGUGAGGAAUAUUGGUCAAUGGGCGCGAGCCUGAACUAGCCAAGUAGCGUGAAGGAUGACUGCCCUACGGGUUGUAAACUUCUUUUAUAAAGGAAUAAAGUGAGGCACGUGUGCCUUUUUGUAUGUACUUUAUGAAUAAGGAUCGGCUAACUCCGUGCCAGCAGCCGCGGUAAUACGGAGGAUCCGAGCGUUAUCCGGAUUUAUUGGGUUUAAAGGGAGCGUAGAUGGGUUGUUAAGUCAGUUGUGAAAGUUUGCGGCUCAACCGUAAAAUUGCAAUUGAUACUGGCAGUCUUGAGUACAGUUGAGGUAGGCGGAAUUCGUGGUGUAGCGGUGAAAUGCUUAGAUAUCACGAAGAACUCCGAUUGCGAAGGCAGCUUACUAAACUGCCACUGACAUUGAUGCUCGAGAGUGUGGGUGUCAAACAGGAUUAGAUACCCGAGUAGUC
Molecule: ribosomal RNA, 460 nt
Filed under: uncultured bacterium
Lineage: Bacteria
Description: partial 16S ribosomal RNA
Rfam family: Bacterial small subunit ribosomal RNA
Source: RNAcentral